Long non-coding RNA from Peromyscus eremicus (cactus mouse), 2327 nucleotides. RefSeq lists it as uncharacterized. The record is from RefSeq and is a predicted model, not a curated record. Lineage: Eukaryota; Metazoa; Chordata; Mammalia; Rodentia; Cricetidae. The transcript is spliced from 3 exons.
GUUAAAACGGGAACUUGCGAGGUGGUGGCCCUGCACAGAUGCUGUAAUAAGAACAAGAUAGAAGAGCGGUCCCAAACGGUCAAGUGUUCCUGCUUCCCUGGGCAGGUGGCAGGCACCACACGAGCUGCUCCAUCUUGUGUGGAUGCAUCCAUAGUGGAACAGAAAUGGUGGUGUCAUAUGCAGCCGUGUCUGGAGGGAGAGGAGUGUAAAGUCCUUCCAGAUCGGAAAGGAUGGAGCUGUUCAUCGGGAAAUAAAGUGAAAACAACUAGGGUAACCCAUUAACCACACAUAAAUCAAGCAAUCCUCAAGGCUGGGUUCAUGGAGACACACGCAUAGAACCUUGACUCCUGUGGCGAUCUUGAAGAUUUUUAUACCUCUUACAAGAGGGGCUUUUAAGCCUGUUCCCAAGGGAUUCCAUGACUUGUUAUCAGCUUCCUAUUGAAACUAAGACUUUGCAAAAGUCUGAUGUGAACUUCCUGUCCUGAAGACUUCGUCAGAUGUGAACUGCUCUUGGCUCGUUAUACUUCUGAGGGAAGCGGACAGUGCUCUCCAUGAAGCUGGUGCAGAGCUGGUGUUUUGGGGGUGACACCAGAGACUGCUACCUGUAGGGUUCCUGGCUUCAGCUGUGACUGUUCUUGUUUCUGAAGCUGUCUCCCAAGUCCACUGUCCUGUCAUGGAUACGUUCCUGGGUCCUUUGUUCAUUGUCUAGUAGGACUGUACACAGCUUGGAUGAUGUUUCCUUUGCGAACUCCUCUGGCAUGGUGUAGAAUGAGACAAUUUUAUUGGUAUUCUAAUCUUGAAACUCUGAAAGCCUACAUGUUUUAACAUCUUACUCUUGCCUUUGUGAAAGGAAUGGAAGUAUUUCCCCAUUGAUAAUGGUAAUCAUUGGCAAGUCACCAUGAUCUGAAUACAUCAGUCAUAUAAGAAUGUAUAGACAUGCUGACAUGUUUCCCCAAGGCUAACCCAUGACUGCCGCUCUCUGUCAUUUAAACAGAUAGCAGUUAGGAUUGGAUUCCCAUUCCCACUGCACAGUACUCCGUACCUCCAGCACACUUUCCCAUCCAGUUCCUUUUUUUUUUAAGUGUACUUUCUUUUUAAUGUUUCCCUUUUCUUUCCUUUACAGAAAUCAUCAGUGUGUAGUCAAGUUAGUAGGUAGCCUUCCAUUUAAAAAAAAAAUGCCAGGGAUGCAUGUGCUUUUCUGACUUCUCAUCACUUAUUUUUAUUCUAGCAUUUUCUUAAACCAUCCUUUCUGUCUCAUUUUAACAUUGUCUCUUGCUCGAUUCCAAUGACUGCUUGAAUGCUUAUAUAUUUGUUCAGUCUGUGGGUAGAAAAAAAUUGUUCAUUUUCCUUGACCUCAAAGGUCUAAAAUACUUUCUUAUCAUUUUUUCCCAUUCAAAUGAUUUCUUAGGCCAGUUUUUUUUGUCCAUAUUUUCUUAGCCAUCUGAAACUUGUGGUUUUUAGUUCUUCAGGAGCGUCUUACAAAUAUUUAAAGGCCUUAAACAUUGAUUUACUUUUUUCUAAGUUGUUACAGAAUGUAUAAUUUUAUACUGCAUUUAUUUUGUUUCACUUGUGAUGUGGAAAGAGAGAAUAGUGGAUUCCAACAAGUAAUAAUACCAUGUAAACCUGUAGUUUGAAGGAAUGUAAAGGCAAGGAUUUUCCAUGUCUUAAUAAUUUCAGCUGGAUCAAAAGAUGCUUCACAGAUCAUCCUAUUAGAUGGUCCAUAAUUUUGGUAGAAGUGUGAAGGUAUUUGGACUUCUUAUACUUCUAAAACUCACUGACAAGGCCAGUUAACCUUAUGUUGGUUUCUGUGGAGGCUCACAUGUUACAGAGAAUUUGGUGUUAGUCUGUAACAGUAUUGAAAGAUUCAUACAUUAACCAGACCCUUUACUGGGAAGAACAACUGAAAGUGUAAAAUCUGUUAAAAAUUAAGUUGGAAACCUAUAUUUUUAAAUACUGAGCUGAAGCCAACUGCCUCAUGAAUACGUGGAAUGAACUGAUUCCUGCAUCCCUUUUAAUUGAGCAUAAAACUAAUUGGGUGGUUCCAAGUGGGUUGUGCAAUGGGUCAAGACUACACAGAGUCAAAAUGAAAGGAAUAACAGUUGUGCUGGAUUUUCUGUGUGGAAUAAAAUAUCAUUAAUUUCUUUGGAACAAAAUGAAAAACUAUAUCAUUUUGAACAUUAUUAAUUUAUCCUGGAUUUGUUUGAAACUAUGGGCCAUGCUUCUCAUUUUGAAAACUUUGUCAUUUAAAACAGCGCUGGAAAUUCUGUAUUAUAUAAAAGUGUAAUACAUGCGUAUCAAUAGAAAAAAUAAAUGGAAUUUCAAAUAUA